This 253-nucleotide ribosomal RNA is filed under the name uncultured bacterium. Its description in RNAcentral is "partial 16S ribosomal RNA". It matches the Rfam family "Bacterial small subunit ribosomal RNA", at positions 524 to 776 of the family's 1533-position model. The record is from RNAcentral.
UACAGAGGAUGCAAGCGUUAUCCGGAAUGAUUGGGCGUAAAGCGUCUGUAGGUGGCUUUUUAAGUCCGCCGUCAAAUCCCAGGGCUCAACUCUGGACAGGCGGUGGAAACUACCAAGCUGGAGUACGGUAGGGGCAGAGGGAAUUUCCGGUGGAGCGGUGAAAUGCGUAGAGAUCGGAAAGAACACCGGUGGCGAAGGCGGCCUGCUGGGCUAUGGCUGACACUGAGGCGCGACAGCGUGGGGAGCAAACAGG